This 417-nucleotide long non-coding RNA is filed under the name Homo sapiens (human). RNAcentral describes it as "HSALNT0219474". The record is from RNAcentral. Lineage: Eukaryota; Metazoa; Chordata; Mammalia; Primates; Hominidae.
CUCUGUUGCCCAGGCUGGAGUGCAGUGGUGCAAUCUCAGCUCACUGCAACCUCUGCCUAGCAGGUUCAAGUGAUGCUCCUGCCUUAGCCUUCCAAGUAGCUGGGAUUACAGGCGCAUACCACCACGCCCAGCUAAUUUUUGUAUUUUUAGUAGAGAUGAGGUUUCACCAUGUUGGUCUGGCUAGUCUUGAACUCCUGACCUCAGAUGAUCCACCCGCCUCAGCCUCCCAAAGUGCUAGGAUUACAGGUGUGAGCCACUGCGCCCAUCCAGGAUUCUGGCUUUUAAUCUCCAAGCUUAGAUCAUGACAGAAAGGACUAAGGAACUCUUCAUCAGUUCUUUAUUCAAGAAGCCCAUUGCGGGGGUGGUUAAUGUUCACUCAAGAUUUGUGCUAUUGUAGUAGUCCAUUCGUUGUACUAU